This 253-nucleotide ribosomal RNA is filed under the name uncultured bacterium. Its description in RNAcentral is "partial 16S ribosomal RNA". It matches the Rfam family "Bacterial small subunit ribosomal RNA", at positions 524 to 776 of the family's 1533-position model. The record is from RNAcentral.
UACGGGGGGGGCAAGCGUUGUUCGGAAUUACUGGGCGUAAAGCGUGCGCAGGCGGUUGUGCAAGACCGAUGUGAAAUCCCCGGGCUUAACCUGGGAAUGGCAUUGGUGACUGCACGGCUAGAGUGUGUCAGAGGGGGGUAGAAUUCCACGUGUAGCAGUGAAAUGCGUAGAGAUGUGGAGGAAUACCGAUGGCGAAGGCAGCCCCCUGGGAUAACACUGACGCUCAUGCACGAAAGCGUGGGGAGCAAACAGG